GCUUAUCUGGCUACUGUACAUAUAUAUAUAUAUAUCAAGUAAUACUCGCGUUCAUAUCUAGCUAAUAUACUUCAGUAAAUACAGAAUUUGUAUGGAGAUUUUUCUACUGGCUUUCCUGUCAUAAUGAAAAACCUUACUUUAACCUUGUGUCUGACGUUGUUGUUGUUGUCACUCUUUCUGAUCGAAUCAGCUGAUUCCAUAGUGUGCCACAAACACUGCCACAGAAAAUGUCAUAAAAACGCCGAUAAGGCUGAGAGAGAGAUGAAGGUCAUGGAGAACUUAGGUUACACGGUUUCUAAGCUACCUAACGACGACGAUAUGGGUUAUCUCGAAGCAGACAUGGACGAAUGACUUGAUUCCAUCCUGCGUCUGUUAAACACCAGGUACGUGAACUAAAAACAACGAAUGAAACCGGUGUCUUCUAGAACAAUGUUGUAAUUUUUUUGAUAAUAUGAUGUGCUGGUUGUAUAAAUAGAAUGAGGGUUUAUAAUAAAACAACAUUUAAUUUUCAAAA
Long non-coding RNA from Limulus polyphemus (Atlantic horseshoe crab), 514 nucleotides. RefSeq lists it as uncharacterized. Lineage: Eukaryota; Metazoa; Arthropoda; Merostomata; Xiphosura; Limulidae. The transcript is spliced from 4 exons. The record is from RefSeq and is a predicted model, not a curated record.